GACGAACGCUGGCGGCGUGCCUAACACAUGCAAGUCGAACGAAAUUAAGUUUGACACCGAACACUUAGUUUGGUGGAAAAGCACUGAGUAGUCGGUGUUGAACUUAAUUUAGUGGCGGACGGGUGAGUAACGCGUGAGUAACCUGCCUUUCAGAGGGGGAUAACGUCUGGAAACGGACGAUAAUACCGCAUAACAUAUUUGGGUCACAUGGCUCGAAUAUCAAAGGAGCAAUUCACUGAAAGAUGGACUCGCGUCCGAUUAGCUAGUUGGUGAGAUAAAAGCCCACCAAGGCGACGAUCGGUAGCCGGACUGAGAGGUUGAACGGCCACAUUGGGACUGAGACACGGCCCAGACUCCUACGGGAGGCAGCAGUGGGGAAUAUUGGGCAAUGGGCGCAAGCCUGACCCAGCAACGCCGCGUGAAGGAAGAAGGCUUUCGGGUUGUAAACUUCUUUUGUCGGGGACGAGUAGAAGACGGUACCUGGCGAAUAAGCCACGGCUAACUACGUGCCAGCAGCCG
Molecule: ribosomal RNA, 519 nt
Filed under: uncultured bacterium
Lineage: Bacteria
Description: bacterial SSU rRNA
Rfam family: Bacterial small subunit ribosomal RNA
Source: RNAcentral